Molecule: long non-coding RNA, 1119 nt
Organism: Equus caballus (horse)
Lineage: Eukaryota; Metazoa; Chordata; Mammalia; Perissodactyla; Equidae
Source: RefSeq, a predicted model, not a curated record
CGCCCCAUGCGGAAGUCUGGGGUGGCUCACCGCAGACUCACCACCCAGCCGCGCUGCUCACCUUCCUGUCGGAUCUACUUCCAAAGAGCGCCGGAAGGGCAAGAGCACACAUCGUGAAUACACAGCUGAUGAAUGUUUCACACACUGAACACACCUGUGUAAUGAGCAUCCAGAUCAAGAAACAGGACAUAUCAGUCCACAGAAGUCCGCAGUGCCCCCUUCCAAUGACUACCAUGCCCACCAAGAGUCACCACUCUCCUGACCUAACUCUUGAGGAGCUGUGUUCAUGUUUGUGGAGACCGUGUUCUGCUUAGUGCAAAGAAGCAGAAUGUGCCUAUUACUGCUACACCGUCCUCUCCAGCUGGAUGGAUAACCAGCACUUUCUAUGCCCAGGCAAGUUCUGUAAUUUUUCUCCUUGUGAGGGUGGAGAGGGUGUGUCCUGAUGUAUCUGCAGGCACCAGAUGAAGGGUGAGGAAGAGCAAAGAAAAGUAAGAAGGCCUUGCUGGAGGCUGCACUGGGGCCCCCCACUGAGAAUGAGAGGAGCAAGAAAGGUGAGGCUGCCCUCCCUCCCCUCCCCUUCCUUCUCUCUUUCUCUUUCCUUCCUUUGCAUCCAUCUCAAUCAAAGGGUACACUGAUAAUUAAUUCUUCCUCUUCUCCUGAUUAUGAAGUUACUUUCCCUGGAGAAAACUAACAAUUUCCUCUAGAAUCUUCCAGAGAUAGUUUAUGCAAGUACACUAACUAUUUUUGCCUUUUAUGCAGGUGAUAGUAUUCUACACAUAUUCUACUGCAUUUUGCUUUUCUCACCUUAAAAUAUCUUGGUGAUUGUAGGGGCCAUUAGUCACAGUCAUGGCUGCCUACUAUCCUUGGAAAGUCCUCUUUAUAUUUGUAGAAAUCCUCAUGUUAUUAUCCCAGUCUAGAAAUCAGAAAUGCAAAUUCCCAGCCUCCCUUGCAGCUAGGACACAGGCCUACAGCCUAGACUCUGUCACUUGGAUACACUCAGGCACUGAUAUCAGCUUAACACAAGGUUGACGUAAGGGAAGCCAUAUUGUAGAAAAGAAACCACAUUGUAACUUUGAAUGACCUCUGAUUAACUAACGCAGACAUGCUCUGUAGAUUUUG